This 256-nucleotide ribosomal RNA is filed under the name uncultured bacterium. RNAcentral's name for it is "partial 16S ribosomal RNA". It matches the Rfam family "Bacterial small subunit ribosomal RNA", at positions 335 to 607 of the family's 1533-position model. The record is from RNAcentral.
CACCUACGGGACGCAGCAGUGGGGAAUAUUGGGCAAUGGGCGCAAGCCUGACCCAGCAACGCCGCGUGAAGGAAGAAGGCUUUCGGGUUGUAAACUUCUUUUAAGGGGGAAGAGCAGAAGACGGUACCCCUUGAAUAAGCCACGGCUAACUACGUGCCAGCAGCCGCGGUAAUACGUAGGUGGCAAGCGUUGUCCGGAUUUACUGGGUGUAAAGGGCGUGCAGCCGGGACUGCAAGUCAGAUGUGAAAUCCGCGGG